UAGGGAAUAUUGGACAAUGGGGGCAACCCUGAUCCAGCCAUGCCGCGUGAGUGAAGAAGGCCCUCGGGUUGUAAAGCUCUUUUGUCCGGAAAGAAAAGCAUUCGGUGAAUACCCGGAUGUUCUGACGGUACCGGAAGAAUAAGCACCGGCUAACUUCGUGCCAGCAGCCGCGGUAAUACGAAGGGUGCAAGCGUUACUCGGAAUUACUGGGCGUAAAGCGUGCGUAGGUGGUUGUUUAAGUCUGAUGUGAAAGCCCUGGGCUCAACCUGGGUAUGGCAUUGGAAACUGGGCAGCUAGAGUGCGGUAGAGGGUAGUGGAAUUCCCGGUGUAGCAGUGAAAUGCGUAGAGAUCGGGAGGAACAUCUGUCGCGAAGGCGACUGCCUGGACCAGCACUGACACUGAGGCACGAAAGCGUGGGGAGCAAACA
RNAcentral lists this ribosomal RNA (427 nucleotides) under uncultured bacterium. RNAcentral describes it as "bacterial SSU rRNA". It matches the Rfam family "Bacterial small subunit ribosomal RNA", at positions 355 to 774 of the family's 1533-position model. The record is from RNAcentral.